RNAcentral lists this ribosomal RNA (253 nucleotides) under uncultured bacterium. RNAcentral's name for it is "partial 16S ribosomal RNA". It matches the Rfam family "Bacterial small subunit ribosomal RNA", at positions 524 to 776 of the family's 1533-position model. The record is from RNAcentral.
UACAGAGGGUGCGAGCGUUGUCCGGAAUCACUGGGCGUAAAGGGCGCGUAGGUGGCCUGAUAAGUAGGGGGUGAAAUCUCGAGGCUCAACUUCGAGGCUGCCUCCUAAACUGUCAGGCUUGAGCAGAGUAGAGGCAGGUGGAAUUCCCGGUGUAGCGGUGGAAUGCGUAGAGAUCGGGAAGAACAUCAGUGGCGAAGGCGGCCUGCUGGGCUAUUGCUGACACUGAUGCGCGACAGCGUGGGGAGCAAACAGG